Ostrea edulis (European flat oyster) is the source of this 3065-nucleotide RNA transcript. RefSeq lists it as uncharacterized. NCBI's taxonomy places the organism in Eukaryota, Metazoa, Mollusca, Bivalvia, Ostreida, Ostreidae. The transcript has 10 exons. The record is from RefSeq and is a predicted model, not a curated record.
AAACCCCAAUAUGAAUUGCGUGUAAUCUUAAUAUACAUACAAUGUACUGUGAACAUGGACCAUGAUAGUAGAGCGUUAUGUCGUCUGCUGAUUGUGGAGUUGAUAGCUUUCCUUAUUUUUACAAUCUCAACUGUGCUUUACAUCGUGAAAGGCAAGGGAUUGGAUGCAAGCCAUGUCACCUUUACCUGCACUGUGUAUGCUUUUCUCCUGGUCAUCGUUGCGUUUACCCUGUGUUUUUGUGUAAGAUCAACAGACAGAAACAAUACAAAGAGGAAAAAUCGACUAAGUGCCACUGAGUUUGGGAAAAUGUCCAGCAGACUGAAAUUAGUGGACAAAAAGUUUGGUUCUGAUUGCGCUAUUUGUCUGACGUCAAAGGAUGUACAAUAUUCGCCUAUCGCUGAACUUAGCUGUAAACACGAUUACCAUGAACAGUGCAUCAAAGAUUGGUUUAUUACCUCCACGGAAUUUCGCUGUCCUCAGUGUCGAGAGAAUGCGGAGCGAUUUCCUAAAAGUACACAGAAAACAGCAACAGUUUUGGGAAAUAAUGUAUGAUAAACAGCCACCCUAUUCGUAUGUAUGACGAUAUGCCUGAGAGUAUUCCGUGAAUGUGGAAAUUCAUUCCAUGUGAAAAGUUCCCAAAUGGUGGAUUCGCAGGUGCGAUGAUGGGCCGUGUCCUGCUGUUAACAUCCUGCUGCAUCAUCAACAUAGAUGACAGACGCAGAUUCGUGCACAUUUACAAAUGUUUGCUUUGUUUUUUAAUCAGACAAUGAUCGACCAAUCUUUAUAGUGGAUCGAUUAAUUCAAUAGGGAUUUAUAUUGCAUGAAUUUCGAGUCAUUGACUUUUAUCGAGGAAUAAAUCGAAAUUAUGAACAUUUGAUUUCUUUGGAAAUAUCCGAACCAUGACCUAUAAUAGCACGUAUAUAACAAUGGAGAGUGCUGAUGUGUAUAAAAGCUAUGAGUGCUGAUGUGUAUAAAAGCUAUGAGUGCUGAUGUGUAUAAAAGCUAUGAGUGCUGAUGUGUAUAAAAGCUAUGAGUGCUGAUGUGUAUAAAAGCUAUGAGUGCUGAUGUGUAUAAAAGCUAUGAGUGCUGAUGUGUAUAAAAGCUAUGAGUGCUGAUGUGUAUAAAAGCUAUGAGUGCUGAUGUGUAUAAAAGCUAUGAGUGCUGAUGUGUAUAAAAGCUAUGAGUGCUGAUGUGUAUAAAAGCUAUGAGUGCUGAUGUGUAUAAAAGCUAUGAGUGCUGAUGUGUAUAAAAGCUAUGAGUGCUGAUGUGUAUAAAAGCUAUGGUGCCUAGCGAUAGCUAGAAAUAUAAGCAUGCAAAUUGUUGUUUAUAUCCUUGAGUCAACAUGUUGACAAGUCAAAGGUGGGUAUUUAAAAUGUAUAUGAUGUCAACAUAUUGCAUAAGAAUAAAAGUAUGUCAAAAUAUACAUCUUGUGACUGUUUCAGGAAGUUGAUCUAUAUACAUAGAAAACACUUGCUGACUUCACUAUGCAAAUUAGACCGGUUCGCACUCCUAGCGGCCGAGAUUGAAAACAAUGAUAGGAGUCCUGUUUAAACAAUGCAUUUUAAAAUCAAUAUAUGUAUAUCAUAUUACUGAUAAAUCAUUUAUAAAUUUGUGUGUUGGGGUAUUCUGACGCCCUAGUUCUUCCGCCCAGAGACAAUAACAUUAGUCAUCUAUUUUUUAUUUAAAUAUAUCGGAUAUUGACCACGUGAUUUCCUGAUCUAAAAAUGGAACGUGAUAUAAUCAUGCUCAAACAUUACAACUUACAAAACCAAAGAUAACAGCGAAAGGUUCACACAAUGGUAUUCACAAAGAACAAAAUAUUGUGGUGGAUUUGUAUAGAAAUCCUCAUUUUGAUUACUUUUGCCAUUGGAGUUGUCAUAAGAGUGGCAAACGAUGAUUAUAGUGACGUGGACAUUAUUGUCACGUUCAGCGUCCUUGGGUUCUGUCUCGUUUUGUUGGUUCUAACUGUAGCUUGCUACUUCAGGUCACUUGACAAAGAAACUCUGAAGGAUACCAGCAGUGUAAAAAUCAACAUUCUAGAUCAAGGAAAACUUUGGAUGAAGAUGAAACCUGUUCAUAAGGACUUUGCUUCCGACUGUGCAAUAUGUCUGCUUCCGAAAGACUCGACUUCCCACACCAUUGUUCAAAUCAGCUGCAAACAUGAUUAUCACGAUAAAUGUAUUGAGAAAUGUUUCCAAAAAACCGGGAAUGUGCAAUGCCCGGAGUGUCGCCAGGACGCCAUUGAUCAUCAAACCAUACAACCUACCCCCGUGUGACUGUCAGGACGCCAAGGCAGGUUGGGGUUCUAGUGGCUUUAUUUUGGAGUCUUCUGCAUGGUCAAAUACAGGUAUACUGCUGGACUCUCAAAGAAAAACAGAAGACGUGAAACAGACUGGAAGUGAAACUAACUCCUGUAUUUUAUCUGUAUCCCCUGGUGUGUAACGAUGGAUAAAACUGGAGAUAGCUGGCUCUCAUUUGCACAGACUCCAUUCCUCUCGUAAAAAUUGAUAUGAUUGAAAAGAACAGAUCUUGAAAUUCGUCGCCAGGACCCUCCCCCUGUUCAAUUUAUGCUUGUUAGAGAAUUAGUAUACUUGCUGCAAAAAGGACAUACAAGUAAACCUACAAGUGUUCAUGUCCUGAUGCAGAGAAAAAUAUAGGCAUUUGAUUGGACGACAAGCUGGGAAUAUGAGACUAUGUACCUUCCAAAGAAUAUAUGGAAUACAAAAUGGCGUCAAUAGAUCUAUAUAUCUAACCGCUUCGUAAAACAUCAUUGUUCGUUAUCUUUACCUUGUAUCGCUCUGCAGUCGGAUAUAUUCGUUAACGGUUCGGGAGAAUAUAAACUUUGACAGGGAAUAUACCCUGCCAAGAAUCCUUAUAAUCAAUAAUAUAUUCUGAAUGCCACACUGUCAAGUUAUAUAAUAUGAUAAGAGGUUUACAAAAAUGACUCUCUCACCUAACGCUACUCGUGUAUGUAUUACAGUGCAAUAAUUUUAUAUGUACUAUUUGUAUACAUAUUUGUACAAUGUUUUAGAUUAAAUCUAAAUAAAGAUGAACUGAGGAUAGUA